Molecule: ribosomal RNA, 829 nt
Filed under: uncultured delta proteobacterium
Lineage: Bacteria; Deltaproteobacteria
Description: bacterial SSU rRNA
Rfam family: Bacterial small subunit ribosomal RNA
Source: RNAcentral
AAAGGGCUUCGGCCCCGGUAAAGCGGCGCACGGGUGAGUAACACGUAGGUAAUCUGCCCUCGGGUGGUGGAUAACACUCCGAAAGGGGUGCUAAUACAGCAUGACACCGAAAGGUCAAAGCGGGCCUAUCUAUAGAAGCCCGCGCCUGGGGAUGAGCCUGCGGCGCAUCAGCUAGUUGGUGGGGUAAUGGCCUACCAAGGCGAAGACGCGUAGCUGGUCUGAGAGGAUGAACAGCCACACUGGAACUGAGACACGGUCCAGACUCCUACGGGAGGCAGCAGUAGGGAAUCUUGCGCAAUGGGCGAAAGCCUGACGCAGCGACGCCGCGUGAGCGAUGAAGGCCUUCGGGUUGUAAAGCUCUGUGGGGAGAGAAGAAUAAGGACCGGCAAAUACCCGGUUCGAUGACGGUAUCUCCUUAGCAAGCACCGGCUAACUCUGUGCCAGCAGCCGCGGUAAUACAGAGGGUGCAAACGUUGUUCGGAAUUACUGGGCGUAAAGCGCGUGUAGGCGGCUUGGCAGGUCGGAUGUGAAAUCCCAGGGCUCAACCCUGGAAGUGCAUUCGAAACCGCCUGGCUAGAGUUCUGGAGAGGAAGGUGGAAUGCUUGGUGUAGAGGUGAAAUUCGUAGAUAUCAAGCGGAACACCGGUGGCGAAGGCGGCCUUCUGGACAGAUACUGACGCUGAGACGCGAAAGCGUGGGGAGCAAACAGGAUUAGAUACCCUGGUAGUCCACGCUGUAAACGAUGAGUGCUAGAUGUCAGGAGCUUUGACCCUCUUGGUGUCGCAGCUAACGCGAUAAGCACUCCGCCUGGGGAGUACGGCCGCAAGGCU